Molecule: transfer RNA, 70 nt
Filed under: Marmota monax (woodchuck)
Lineage: Eukaryota; Metazoa; Chordata; Mammalia; Rodentia; Sciuridae
Description: tRNA.Undet
Source: RNAcentral
GGGGUUGUGGCUCAGUGGUAGAGUGCUUGCCUACAUGUGAGAGGCACUGGGUUCAAUCCUCAGCACCACA